RNAcentral lists this ribosomal RNA (497 nucleotides) under uncultured bacterium. RNAcentral describes it as "partial 16S ribosomal RNA". It matches the Rfam family "Bacterial small subunit ribosomal RNA", at positions 28 to 507 of the family's 1533-position model. The record is from RNAcentral.
GACGAACGCUGGCGGCGUGCCUAAUACAUGCAAGUUGAGCGCUGAAGGUUGGUACUUGUACCAACUGGAUGAGCAGCGAACGGGUGAGUAACGCGUGGGGAAUCUGCCUUUGAGCGGGGGACAACAUUUGGAAACGAAUGCUAAUACCGCAUAAAAACUUUAAACACAAGUUUUAAGUUUGAAAGAUGCAAUUGCAUCACUCAAAGAUGAUCCCGCGUUGUAUUAGCUAGUUGGUGAGGUAAAGGCUCACCAAGGCGAUGAUACAUAGCCGACCUGAGAGGGUGGUCGGCCACAUUGGGACUGAGACACGGCCCAAACUCCUACGGGAGGCAGCAGUAGGGAAUCUUCGGCAAUGGACGAAAGUCUGACCGAACAACGCCGCGUGAGUGAAGAAGGUUUUCGGAUCGUAAAACUCUGUUGGUAGAGAAGAACGUUGGUGAGAGUGGAAAGCUCAUCAAGUGACGGUAACUACCCAGAAAGGGACGGCUAACUACGUG